This 2190-nucleotide long non-coding RNA is filed under the name Citrus maxima (pomelo). Its description in RNAcentral is "long non-coding RNA (CMAX_LNC001560)". Lineage: Eukaryota; Viridiplantae; Streptophyta; Magnoliopsida; Sapindales; Rutaceae. The record is from RNAcentral.
GAAGAUAAAUAAAUAAACAAAGUGAAGUGGGGAUUAACUCAUUUCCUUUUGCAUGCUUUAAUAAAUUUAUAAUAUGCCGGUGGGCAAGUUGAUUAUAACGUGAAGCACAUGAGACGCGAAAUUAACGGUCCCAAAUAAUAAAAACCCUACAAAAUUUAUUUUGGUCUCUAUCUAUCUAUUUCUAAUUUGAUCAGAAUAUAUAUAUAUAUAUAUAUAUAUAUAUUUUGGGUGGUUAUCUUGAACAAGUCGAGAUUGAAAUAUAGUAAUCAUAAAUAAUUCAUAUCGAAAUAAAACUUACUAUGGUAGCUAGCCAAUUAACGGCAUUCCAAUGGUUAAACUAGUUAUCAUGGAUUAGGAAUUGGCAUUUCUGUUUCUGGAAGUUGCUCCCGCUUCUUCAUCUUCUUCUUGUUUUUAAUCUCACCAUAGAAAUACGAAGCAAAUCCCCAAAGAGAAAGUGCAAGAGAGACCCCCUUUUCAGCUUGAAAUUUUUCUUUGUAGAAAAUGACGGCUAGAAUCUCGGUAACUGGUAGCAGAACUGCGAUUAUGAUUGCGGAAAGCAAAGACGAGCCACAGUAAAUGACUCCAAUAGCCCCUAAGAAGAAGCACUGCCAAAUUAAUGCACUCGCCACCACCACCGCAUAGUACUUGCCUUCGCCUAGCGUGUACGCUCUUGCUUCUUUUCCAAUUGCCUGCACCAAUUAACUUGUUCCAUUAACCGUUUCAUUUUUUGCUUUAACCUUUCAUCACUUUAUCUCGUUUUUCUUAAUUAAUGACAAGAUAUCCACUAAUAUUUUAAAACAAUAGGUUGUUACAGACAUAUAAUUUGGAGAAAACAUAUAUAGCAAGGUAAUGAUUUUUGUUUCUCCCUUUUUAUCUACUAAGUGUGCUGUACAUGUGUCGUGACAGAAUUGAAACCUAUGAAUUAUGAUGAGUUCGCCCACUACUAGGCCCAUUUCAUCACCACAUUGUCGUUUAUCCAGCAAAGCUGAUUCAUUAAUCAUUAACAAAAGAAGAUAAAUUUCAAGCUAGCGCAUGAUGCUAUUUUUUUUUUUUUUUCUCCAUACAUUUGACCGUAUAUAUUAGAGUAACUUAUUGUAUAUGAUUACAUGAGUUUUAAUUGACUGGUUUGAUCAGCUCAGUCGCGUUAUAAUGUUAUUAAUUUUCAUAUGUUGAUCUGUGCAUGCAUAAUAUUAUAAUAACAGAAGAAUCCGAUGAUAAUUGUACGAAAAAAAUGGACUGGCCGGCAAAAGAAGGAGAGAAAAUAAAGUGAUAAUUAAAGAGAAAUGAAACCUGGAAAUCUUUGUUGACGACCAUUCCCACGGUACAGACAAGAGUUGCAAAAAGACACAUGACCAUCUGAAUCUCCAAAACAAGAGCGUAGGUGAUUUCUUGCCUGGCCCUCUUGUAAGUCAACUCCAUCAACGGCAAAACAAACCCAUACAAGACCGCAGCUCCGAUCGUCAUCAGAAACCCUACUAGAUACUGUCUUGCGGACUCGUUAUCUGGCCGGUCACCGUUGGUGUGUAAACCCAAUACGACUGCCCCAAGCGUUAACAAGAAGACAGCGUUGAGUGAAUAAGAUGUAAGCUUUUGCUUGACCAACAAGAAGGCGAAAGCGGCGGUGAAAGCCAGCUGCGAGGCGAUGAUCAAGGAAGAAGUUGAGACGGGCAAACGAGCAACUCCGUAAGCGUAGAGAUAAUUGUCCAAUCCUGUGAGGAUUCCAAUGAUCGCUGAUGCGAAGAACACGGGAGGUCUCAUCAAGAUCAACUUAUUAUCAUCAUUAUUGGACGGCUGCGAUGAUGUCGAUGAUUCGUGAUCAGUAGUAGUGCCACUGCGGCGCCGCUGCAGGUAGGAUACUGUGAUGGGAAUGAGAAUGACAGGGCAGCCGGCGGUUUCGAGCCAGCUUGAGAACCAAAUCCUUUUGCCUCCAUGGAGGAAAUAUAAGCGCAUGAUCAAAGGGCCAGCGCAGUUGCCUAUAGCCAAGAGGAUGAUGUUCAGGAUUAGCAGAGCUAUUUUCAUGGUGGUUUUUUUCGAUUUAGUAGUUUCCAUCAUCUCCGCCAUGUUUAAUUACUCGGUAAACACAUGAAAAUUUGAAACUGAGCCGGAUGUUAUGUGUGGGGGGCAGUGAAGUUGAAUUUAUAGCUUAAUUUCCGCAAGAGUUUUCUUGUUUUUUUAUAAAAACAAAUGUCA